Molecule: small nuclear RNA, 351 nt
Filed under: Mesocricetus auratus (golden hamster)
Lineage: Eukaryota; Metazoa; Chordata; Mammalia; Rodentia; Cricetidae
Description: 7SK RNA (ENSMAUG00000003720.1)
Rfam family: 7SK RNA
About the family: 7SK was discovered as an abundant small nuclear RNA in the mid-70s but a possible function has only recently been suggested.
Source: RNAcentral
GGAUGUGAGUGAGCUGGCUGCCACAUCUGUCACCCCACUGAUCACCAGGGUUGAUUAGGUUAAUCUGACUAGCUAGGCCAGUGUCCCCUUUCUCUCCACUCCAAGUGUGUCCCUCUGAAGCUCAGCAAAAAAUAAAAAAGAAUGACCUUCCCCAAAUAGAGGAAGACUGGUCUGCAGUCAAGGGUAAAAAGUCACUGUCUUUCCCUGCUAGAGCCCCCUAAUGAGCUCUCAGAUGUCAAAUGGAAAAUGACAAAACCUGAUCAGGCCUCCUAGGUUCAGCUUAUUCAUUUACCACAGUCAUGGAAGGAAUGGUAACUGUGGGAUGGUCUAGGUCCAUUAUACUCAUUUCAU